GACAGGUGGUGCAUGGUUGUCGUCAGCUCGUGUCGUGAGAUGUUGGGUUAAGUCCCGCAACGAGCGCAACCCUCGACCUUAGUUGCCAGCAUUCAGUUGGGCACUCUAAGGUGACUGCCGGCUAAAAGUCGGAGGAAGGUGGGGAUGACGUCAAAUCAUCAUGCCCCUUAUGACCUGGGCUACACACGUGCUACAAUGGGCGGUACAAAGGGUCGCGAACCCGCGAGGGGGAGCCAAUCCCAAAAAGCCGCUCUCAGUUCGGAUUGCAGGCUGCAACUCGCCUGCAUGAAGCCGGAAUCGCUAGUAAUCGCGGAUCAGCAUGCCGCCGGUGAACUACGUUCCCGAGCCUU
This 350-nucleotide ribosomal RNA is filed under the name uncultured Anoxybacillus sp. RNAcentral's name for it is "bacterial SSU rRNA". It matches the Rfam family "Bacterial small subunit ribosomal RNA", at positions 1033 to 1382 of the family's 1533-position model. Lineage: Bacteria; Bacillati; Bacillota; Bacilli; Caryophanales; Anoxybacillaceae. The record is from RNAcentral.